AGCCACCAGGGAAGUUCUAUCAUUUUAGCUUCCAUGGUGGCUUAGAUGGUAACAAAUCUGCAUACAGUGCAGGAGACCUGGGUUUGAUCCUUGGAUUGGGAAGAUCCACUUGAGUAGGGAAUGACUGUGCCCUCCAAUUCUCCAGUGUUCUUGCCUGGAGAAUUCCAUGGACAGAGGAGCCUGGCAGGCUACAGUCCAUUGGGUCACAAAGAGUCAGCCACGACUGAGCAACUAACACUUUCACUUUGUUAAGUACGUGGCAUGAAAGCAUAUGGAACUUGCCCCCAGUGCUCUUCAAAAAGAGGGACCAGAAAGGAAGAUUUCUUUGGAUAUUUAUUUGUCUUUGGGGGGAUUUCCACUAUAUACAGAGAUGGUUUAUUAUGGUGUAUUCUAAUUCUUCACAAAGAUUGAGUUGUUAAAAAGUCUUCACAAAUACACAAAUCUAUAAAAUACUGUGCAAUCAUAAAUUUGAGAUUAGGUUCUGAUAUCGUAUUGAAAUGAUAGUAUUCUUUUGGGAAAGAACUUUAAAUUUGACAAAGGUAUUUAUGAAAAUGAAGAUGCUUUUUAAGGCUGUUGCUGUUAAUAUUAUUGCUAUUAAUAGUAUAAAAUCUGCAAAUGCAGGAUCAGUGGUUUAUGUUCUAAAUUUUUUUUUCCUGGAGAGGUUCUCUGUUCUCAGUUAGAGGAAUCUGAGGAUGUAAACUUUAAUGACAGACAUUGGGCUCUUAAAUAUGACUUUGGACAAGUCAUUUAACCUGUUUUAGCCUCUGCAUUAAGGAAAAUAGUAAUAACAACCCCUUCCUCAUAUGGUUGUCAUGGGAAUUAAAUGGGUGACACAUAUAAAGUGUUUAAUGUAGAGCCUCAGGUAGAUAUUAAUUGAUGCUCAGUAAAGUGUAGUGUUAUGGCUGUUACCCUCAGCCAGUAUCAGAAACAAAUCUUUGAGAGUUACUUACAAGUAGAUUAAUUUGGGGUACAAAUUAGAAACAGAAAUGUAAGCAUUGUGAAGAAAUCAGAUCUUUCAAGAAGAUUUUGAGACAUUUACUGAGCAGCUUUAUGAGCUAGGAGCUGUCUCAAAGAUAUCAUUAGAAACUAUAGUAAAUAAGCUUGGAUGUAGGAUUCUUUUAAAAAAACUGGAUCAUGAAAAAGGAUAAUAAUUCUUACCUAAAGAUAAAAGGGCUCUUAGAAAAAAACCCCGGUCUAAUCUCUCACUUCAAGAGAUGUGGAGACCCAGAUCAAACUCUCUACUUACUGUUACACAGAGAGGAGGAGACGGGAAACUGACAGCCCCGCACUGACACCACCACGCCCCUGCCCUGCGCUGGGGCCAUGUGUCCUGUCAUUGGCAGGAGAAGAAACAGCUGCUAUGGAGGCAAAGGACCCCUGCACCUCUCCUUAGCAUCUUUCUGUUGGACUCCGGGUCACUCUUCUGCCCUGCUAGGUGGUACUGUGCUUUUAUGUUCUCUAAUCUGUUUGGUGAGCUACUGUUCAGCCAGAACACUCUGGUCCAGACAGCCACUUGUUCAGACCUUGACAUCCUUUUGUGACAGACCACGCCUCUCCUGGCUACCUGGCCUCCUCUCAGGAGGCCCCUGCCUCCCAGUGAUUCAGCCUCUAAGGGGUGAGUGCCAGCCCUGGGGGGCCCAGCACCACUGCCAGCUGGCAUUGUGCAGGCAUCUGUUCUGGAUGCCAGGGUCUGUGCCACACCAUUUGUCAGUUUUUAAUAUCUCUUCUGUCCUUUAGGCCAUCUAUUGGAUUGAAAACAAUAAAUCCAUUUUUAGGGCCUGAUAAGAGUGUGAGAAGGUGGUUGAAAGCCAUCAAGUCUCACUAUUAAUAACUUACAUUAUUUUAAAAUGAUUCUGCUGGGUAGUUCAACAAUAAAAUGUGAACACAUUUUAUUCUGUUUUUCUACUGCCAUUGGGGUAAAGAUCUCUGAUUUCCUAGAUCAAAGUAUUUGACAGAUUUUAAAGUACACACUAGAGGGCAGUGGCCCCAUAUCUAGACACCUGACAGUUACCACUGUCUGCAUUUCCCUGCCCUUCCUGCAUUAGGGGAGGGGAGGGAAGGCUCCUCCACAUCAUAUAAAUGCCAUUUAUGUCUGAAGUGUUUUAUGAAAAUAGAUCAGCUGCUUGGCAGCACCCUGUCUAUCAUUCCUUGUAGUUUCUUUUCCAUCCUUCUUGCAGUGAUUUAUCUCAGUGGAGUUUUAAUAACAGAGUUAUAUUAAUGACCAUCUCAUGACCCUUUUCUUUUCUAAACACAGGGAGAAGGAGAGAUAGGAAACAUACAUUUCUCAUCUGGAGUAGUAAGGUUUUCUAUCUUUGCAUCCUCGCAAAUAAAGUCUUGAAUUAAGAGUGAGGAAAAAUAGGGACUUAAUGCAUGAUCCAAGAGUUAAGAAUUUGCCUUCUAAAACAAGGGACGCAGGUUUGAUUCCUGGUCAGGGAACUUACGGUCCCACAUGCUGCAGGGCAACUAAGCCCGAGCACUACGACUAGAGAACCUGUGCACUGCAACUAGAGAAAGACCACACACUGCGAUGAAGACCCAGUGUAGCCAAAAUAAAAUAAUAAAUUUUAAAAAAAAGAAUGAGAAAGAAAGGUAGAGUGAGGUCAUCUUGUAUUUGUGUAUGAAGAGGUAACAACCAUUAGUGUGAGUCUGCAGAGCUGCCCACUAAGGAGAAUUAUAUUUCAGCUCGGCUUUACCUCUCCUGCCUACCUCUCGGUAGGGAGAGGCGAAGCUGACCUGCACAGUCAGGAGCAGGGCUGGGUGAGAGCUGGGAGUUAGUAGAGCCACCAGGCCCUGUGGUGGCAGAGAGAGAAGGUCCAGUGUGGCUGAAGAGUGUAAUGAAGUUCAGGAGGAAAGCAAAGGGACACUGAGAAAUAUCUCAGUGGGUUAUUUAUGAAUCUGUCUUUGAUGAAAUCUGAGGAACCUAAAUAAAGGAUUUGAUUUCUUUUUAAUUAUUUUUGGUUGUUGGACUGUUUCUUUGGAAAAAAAAAAAAGUAAGCCUCUAACACUGGAUUAUGUGAGUCCCUUAAUUUAUAGGCAUAAUCUCAGAUAUUGCAAUUGUCAAAAUAAAGUGAAUGGCAUGAAUGCUUUUUUUCCCCAAUGCAUAUAAAAGUUAUCUUUACUCUUUAUGAUAGUCUGGUAAGUGUACAAUAGCAUUAUGAAUAAAAAACCAAUAUACAUACCUUAAUUAAAAAAUUCUUUAUUGCUGAAAAAUUCUAACCAUCCCCUGAGCCUUCAGGAGGUCUUAGGAGUAACAUCAAAGGUCACUGAUCACAGAUCACUAUAACACAUAUAAUAAUAACUUAAACAUUUAAAAUAUUGCAAGAAUUACCAAAAUGUGACACAGAGAAAUGAAGGCAGCAAAUCCUUUUGCAAAAGUGACACCUACAGACUCGUUGCCACAAACCUUCAGUUUGUAAAAAACGCUGUUUCUUUGAAGGGCAAUAAAGCAAAGCACACUAAAAUGUGGUGUGCCUGGAUACAUUUUAUGUAUUGAAUGAAUUUGCCGGGGGUUGUGCUUGGAUUUGUGAAAUCUGACACAAUUGUGUUCCUUUAUAUUUAUUUUUAAAUGUUCACUAAGUUUACUCUUAAAUACAGGAGAGAGAUAAGAUACUCUUCUUUGAAUUCCCCCUCCAGGUCACGGGUGAGAGGAAGGGCACCUAGACCCUCGGAGCAACCUGUGCUGUGAAACAGACCAGGGACUUCCUCUGCGUUUCUCUUAGUGUUGCUAAUAUUUACUGAGCAUGUGCUAUAUACGUAUCACGUUAAGUGCCUUGCAUACAUUAUCUUGCUUGAUUCUCACAACAACCUGUUGUGAUGUACAUGGUUAUGAUCCCUGUUUACAGAUGAGAAACUGCAGGAUUGGAGAGGUUGCCUGGAUGAAGCAGUGACGAUGCAGCAGGCUGAGGUUUGACGGCAGGUUUGUCUUCCUCUGACCUUAUAACCAUCGUUUAUGUGCCCUCAGAGAACAGAGUGAUACCGCCAGCAGUUCCACUGUGAGAUCAUCCCCCCGGCCAACCUCAGAGUGCAGUGCUGUCUCACACAUCCUGAACUGGGUGCGGGCUCUCCAUCUUAUUCCUUUGUAGGUGCCCUGGCUGUUCGGGGGAUAGCCUCUGCCACCACACACACACAUGCAGAGUCACUGGUCAGGUUUUCAUUCCUCUGAUUUUAUAUAAGACGGUGUCACUGGAGAAUAAUUAAAACUCCUGAUGGAUUUAUGUUGGGGCCUCCUGACAUGGUUAUGUAGUUAAUUUAUGCCAAGAUGACAGGGGAGAUUAGCAUUAAAUGUGGAGAGGAAUGCACCUGCCACUUUGAUGCAGUCAGAAGCAUCUAUCAAAGAUGCAUUUGAAACCCAGAGACCUAAAUCUUAUUGGCAAGAAUGCUGUAGGCUUUCUUCAGCUACACUUAAAUGUGGAGAGGAAGAGUAGUUAGUGGAAACAGAGGUAGACCCCACCUUACCUGGACAGCAGAUUCUUCAGGGGCAGAGGAGUCACGCCUUGCCCAGUCCUGUCUCCCUUGGUCUCUGAUGUAAUAAUCCUUGUGCCACAGACAAAGGCAAAACCUUCUCGUAGAAACAGAAGCAGGGAGAGGACUUAUGUGUCUUACUAUUACUACUAAUAACAAUUGGUCACAUUUGGUAAGUGUUUGUUAUGUGUUAGAUAUUGAUGAAAGGGCCUUGCCUGUAUCAUCUCAUCUAUUCUUUAGAUGGCCAGUCCUCUUUCAAGCCUGACCCCUCCCCCAACCGUCACUGCUGCUGCUGCUGCUAAGUUGCUUCAGUCAUGUCCGACUCUGUGCGACCCCAUAGACGGCAGCCCACCAGGCUCCCCCGUCCCUGGGAUUCUCCGAGCAAGAACACUGAAUAUCUGUUUGUGCCAUCUCUGAUUUUGCCCCAUUGCAACCCAAUUUUGGAGCUCAGAGAGAAGAAUCUAUGGUCACAAAAGAAUUGGUCAAAAGAAGAGCAUUUGACCCCUCUGGAUGCUAUCAAAAUUACUUACAUACGUCAGCUUUGACCUUCUAAACUAGCUUUGUGCCACAGAAUUUACUAUUAAGUUGAACUAUUUAAAACUGAUACUGUUUACUAAUUUAAUAAAGUUUAACCAGAUACCUAUAAGUCAUUGAGCACUCACUAGAUAAAUAAUUGUAAUCAGCAUAGGAAAAAUAUUCUCUGACUAACAAAAAAAGGCACAGUACCUUUGGGAACUGCUAUUGAAGGAAAGUUUGCUGACACGGAUAUUGUUAGGAAUUUGGGAAUUUCCUAGCAGGGAUGAGGACAUAGGAAUGAAUGCAACAGAGCCGAGUUUGGGGUUUUAUAAUUUAACAUCUUCUAAUCCUCACCUUAAAAGAGCCUCUUCCAAUAAUAAGAAUCACUAACUUUAUUUCCAAAGAACAUGAAUACUGAAUAGAGCUUAUAAUGUAUUUCUUUAAAAAAGUUUUUUAUUGCAUGGUGGAGAACAAAGCUCACUGGCAGAUUAAAUCUGCAAACAGAGGGAAAGUAAAAAUCAGAGACUAUCAUCAAGGCCAAAAUGAGCCAAACCCUUGGAAGAGAACUAAGAAGAUCCUGCAGAAUCUUCAUACUGACUUGUUGAAGUGAACAUAAUGGCCCAGUGGGACCAAAUGUAGAGAGUUCAGAGCUCCGGUGAGGCACUUUCCUGGUCUGCUCAUAUGAUCACUCAGCACCACUCAGAACCUUCUGGUGCAUGCUGCGUGGGGCUGAGCAAAACAGUUCUCUCAGAUGGCACUGCUGGCACCCACAGCCCUCAGGUGCCCUCUUUCAGGAAAACAGUGUCCCCAUAAAAAUCUUUAGGACACAGAGUUACAAUUAUCCAACCUUCAUGCUCAAGUCCAUCCAUGUUGUAAUCAGGAAAAUGGCCCUUUGUUUGCCUAUGGUAUCAUUUUAAAAGGCCACCUGCAAGGAGGUCAAACCAGUCCAUCCAAAGGAAAUCAGUCCUGAAUAUUCAUUGGAAGGACUGAUGCUGAAGCUGAAGCUCCAAUACUUUGGCCACCUGAUGUGAAGAGCCGACUCAUU
Bubalus bubalis (water buffalo) is the source of this 6022-nucleotide long non-coding RNA. RefSeq lists it as uncharacterized. Lineage: Eukaryota; Metazoa; Chordata; Mammalia; Artiodactyla; Bovidae. The record is from RefSeq and is a predicted model, not a curated record. The transcript is spliced from 3 exons.